GACGAACGCUGGCGGCGUGCCUAAUACAUGCAAGUAGAACGCUGAAGAGAGGAGCUUGCUCUUCUUGGAUGAGUUGCGCGCGGGUGAGUAACGCGUAGGUAACCUGCCUUGUAGCGGGGGAUAACUAUUGGAAACGAUAGCUAAUACCGCAUAACAAUGGAUGACACAUGUCAUUUAUUUGAAAGGGGCAAUUGCUCCACUACAAGAUGGACCUGCGUUGUAUUAGCUAGUAGGUGAGGUAAUGGCUCACCUAGGCGACGAUACAUAGCCGACCUGAGAGGGGGAUCGCCCACACGGGGACUGGGCCACGGCCCAUGCUCCUACGGGAGGCAGCAGUAGGGAAUCUUCGGCAAUGGUGCAACCCUGACCGAGCAACGCCGCGGGAGUGAAGAAUGUUUUCGGAUCGUAAAGCUCUGUUGUAAGUCAAGAACGGGUGUGAGAGUGGAAAGUUCACACUGUGACGGUAGCUUACCAGAAAGGGACGGCUAACUACGUG
RNAcentral lists this ribosomal RNA (496 nucleotides) under uncultured bacterium. RNAcentral describes it as "partial 16S ribosomal RNA". It matches the Rfam family "Bacterial small subunit ribosomal RNA", at positions 28 to 507 of the family's 1533-position model. The record is from RNAcentral.